Molecule: long non-coding RNA, 365 nt
Filed under: Glycine max (soybean)
Lineage: Eukaryota; Viridiplantae; Streptophyta; Magnoliopsida; Fabales; Fabaceae
Description: long non-coding RNA (GMAX_LNC000384)
Source: RNAcentral
GAAGAAACAACAAUGGAGGAGAAAGUAAAGCUAAAAAUUAAUUGAGGUUUAAGGAGCACCUACUUGAAGCUCUUGCGCUCUGAUACCACUUGAUGGAAGCUUGCUUGAGAAGCUUCUAUGGAGGCUGGAUCUUUGAGCUUCAAUAAGGUCCUUCAAUGGUGAUUUUCCACCAUGGAGUUACAACGGAAGAUAAAGGAGAAGAUGUGAGAAGAGGCGCCAUCCACUAGGGAAUAAGCCAUGGAAGGAGAAACUUCACCACCAAGAGAGUGUCUUGGAUAAGAAGCUUAGAGAGGAAGCUUCGAUGGAGGAAGAGAAUGAGAGAUAGAGAGAUAAAUUGUCAUGGAAAAUUGAAGGAAGAAAGGGAG